UUUCCGUAGGUGAACCUGCGGAAGGAUCAUUAUUGAAACUUGAAUCGUAGCAUUGAGAACUGUUGCUGACCUGUUAAAGGGUAUGUGCACGUUCGACGUGUUGCGUUCUAUUCAUCCACCUGUGCACCUUUGUAGACUUGAUUAACUUUCGCUCUCGAGCGGUUAGAAGGGUUGCUUUCGAGCUCCCUUUGUCUAUCAAGUCUAUGUCUAUAUAAUCUCUUGUACGUCUAGAGUGUCUUGUUUAUGGGACGCAAGUCCUUUAAAUCUUAUACAACUUUCAACAACGGAUCUCUUGGCUCUC
Molecule: unclassified non-coding RNA, 301 nt
Filed under: plant metagenome
Description: partial contains small subunit ribosomal RNA, internal transcribed spacer 1, and 5.8S ribosomal RNA
Source: RNAcentral